RNAcentral lists this non-coding RNA (47 nucleotides) under Trichobilharzia regenti. The record is from RNAcentral. Lineage: Eukaryota; Metazoa; Platyhelminthes; Trematoda; Strigeidida; Schistosomatidae.
GUACUGAUGAAGAGUCCCAAAACUAGAACGAAACAGAUGUCCAGUAC